Molecule: non-coding RNA, 87 nt
Filed under: Paenibacillus alvei
Lineage: Bacteria; Bacillati; Bacillota; Bacilli; Caryophanales; Paenibacillaceae
Description: c-di-GMP sequence
Rfam family: c-di-GMP-I riboswitch aptamer
About the family: GEMM was predicted in a large-scale screen for bacterial structured RNA regulatory elements.
Source: RNAcentral
AGGAUUAAAAGGCAAACCCAGUCGAAAGUUGGGGACGCAAAGCCUCGGGCCUAACGUCUAUUGGAUUAUGGCAGCCGGGCUGCCAUU